CAAAGACUUCACAGCACCCUUAGCAGCAGGGAAAUGUGGAGUGGAAGGUGCUAAAACUGUAAUUAGAACAAGGCAUCUGUCUCCCAGCUCCUACUGAGCAGCUACUAAUCAAUGUGAUCACUUGCUUUGAGUAAGGAAGUGCUCACCCAUGGUUCCGCUGGACAUUUUCCCAGCCACUAGCAGACUGGAUGCUGGUAGAAAGUACCCUUGGCUUGGAGAGACAGAAAUUGGAGUCCCUUUUGGGCCCGAGAACUAAAUAGCCUUCUCGUUACUUAUUCAAGAGAAGAAGCUGGAGAGCUGCAGAGGUACAGCAGUGCUGGUGAGGGAGCAGAAGGUAAGCUGAGGGCAAACACAAGCUAACACCCAUCAAUUUCCCCUCCCCUACCCUGCAUGGGAUAUACGUGACAUUCCUCAU
RNAcentral lists this long non-coding RNA (415 nucleotides) under Vulpes vulpes (red fox). RNAcentral's name for it is "lncRNA (ENSVVUG00000026354.1)". The record is from RNAcentral. Lineage: Eukaryota; Metazoa; Chordata; Mammalia; Carnivora; Canidae.